GGUCAGAUGGUAAGCGCGCUACCAAAUAUUAGAUAUCUUCCUCCUCCUUCACAGAUAUUAAUACAUAUGAUACUAAUGCAAACCACAAAUUGGAAUAAUGCAUGAUUUAAUAAUGUAACCUAAUACCGUAAUAAUCCACACGAUGGGGUCAAAUAAUAGAUACAGAUACUGAGAAUAGGUACCAAUUCAAAAAAGAAAAUCAAUUUGUACAAAUCAA
Molecule: unclassified non-coding RNA, 217 nt
Filed under: Hevea brasiliensis (rubber tree)
Lineage: Eukaryota; Viridiplantae; Streptophyta; Magnoliopsida; Malpighiales; Euphorbiaceae
Source: RNAcentral